This 327-nucleotide ribosomal RNA is filed under the name uncultured eukaryote. RNAcentral describes it as "partial 18S ribosomal RNA". It matches the Rfam family "Eukaryotic small subunit ribosomal RNA", at positions 1470 to 1796 of the family's 1831-position model. The record is from RNAcentral.
CCCUUAGAUGUUCUGGGCCGCACGCGCGCUACACUGACGAAUGCAACGAGCUUAUAACCUUGGCCGAAAGGUCUGGGUAAUCUCCAAAUUUCGUCGUGAUGGGGAUAGGUUAUUGCAAUUAUUAAUCUUCAACGAGGAAUGCCUAGUAAGCGCAAGUCAUCAGCUUGCGUUGAUUACGUCCCUGCCCUUUGUACACACCGCCCGUCGCUCCUACCGAUUGAAUGGUCCGGUGAAGCGUUCGGACCGUGGCCUUUGGACGGUUCGCCGUCUGUUGGCUGCGGGAAGUUCGUUAAACCUUAUCAUUUAGAGGAAGGAGAANUCGUAACA